This 252-nucleotide ribosomal RNA is filed under the name uncultured bacterium. RNAcentral describes it as "partial 16S ribosomal RNA". It matches the Rfam family "Bacterial small subunit ribosomal RNA", at positions 524 to 776 of the family's 1533-position model. The record is from RNAcentral.
UACGAGGGGGGCAAGCGUUGUUCGGAAUUAUUGGGCGUAAGGGUGCGUAGGCGGUUUGGUAAGUCUGAUGUGAAAUCUAUGGGCUCAACUCAUAGUCUGCAUCGGAAACUGCCGGGCUUGAGUGUGGGAGAGGUGAGUGGAAUUCCUGGUGUAGCGGUGAAAUGCGUAGAUAUCAGGAGGAACACCGGUGGUGUAGACGGCUUUCUGGACCGACACUGACGCUGAGACACGAAAGCGUGGGUAGCAAACAGG